RNAcentral lists this ribosomal RNA (431 nucleotides) under uncultured bacterium. RNAcentral's name for it is "bacterial SSU rRNA". It matches the Rfam family "Bacterial small subunit ribosomal RNA", at positions 30 to 468 of the family's 1533-position model. The record is from RNAcentral.
AUUGAACGCUGGCGGCAUGCCUUACACAUGCAAGUCGAACGGCAGCACGGGAGCAAUCCUGGUGGCGAGUGGCGAACGGGUGAGUAAAGUAUCGGAACGUACCUUUCAGUGGGGGAUAACGUAGCGAAAGUUACGCUAAUACCGCAUAUUCUGUGAGCAGGAAAGCAGGGGAUCGCAAGACCUUGCGCUGAUGGAGCGGCCGAUAUCAGAUUAGCUAGUUGGUGAGGUAAAGGCUCACCAAGGCGACGAUCUGUAGCGGGUCUGAGAGGAUGAUCCGCCACACUGGGACUGAGACACGGCCCAGACUCCUACGGGAGGCAGCAGUGGGGAAUUUUGGACAAUGGGGGCAACCCUGAUCCAGCCAUGCCGCGUGAGUGAAGAAGGCCUGGUUGUAAGCUCUUCGUCGGAAAAUACGCUCUCCUAUACGGGGU